UUCUGACAUCUUUCACAACGGAUCGUCCGGCACGUACCUGCCGGUGAAGGGAUGUACUG
The sequence is a regulatory RNA element, 59 nucleotides long. It matches the Rfam family "msiK RNA". The record is from Rfam.